RNAcentral lists this ribosomal RNA (570 nucleotides) under Colletotrichum simmondsii. Its description in RNAcentral is "eukaryotic LSU rRNA". The stretch from base 198 to 351 matches the Rfam family "5.8S ribosomal RNA". Lineage: Eukaryota; Fungi; Ascomycota; Sordariomycetes; Glomerellales; Glomerellaceae. The record is from RNAcentral.
UGCGGAGGGAUCAUUACUGAGUUACCGCUCUAUAACCCUUUGUGAACAUACCUAACCGUUGCUUCGGCGGGCAGGGGAAGCCUCUCGCGGGCCUCCCCUCCCGGCGCCGGCCCCACCACGGGGACGGGGCGCCCGCCGGAGGAAACCAAACUCUAUUUACACGACGUCUCUUCUGAGUGGCACAAGCAAAUAAUUAAAACUUUUAACAACGGAUCUCUUGGUUCUGGCAUCGAUGAAGAACGCAGCGAAAUGCGAUAAGUAAUGUGAAUUGCAGAAUUCAGUGAAUCAUCGAAUCUUUGAACGCACAUUGCGCUCGCCAGCAUUCUGGCGAGCAUGCCUGUUCGAGCGUCAUUUCAACCCUCAAGCACCGCUUGGUUUUGGGGCCCCACGGCACACGUGGGCCCUUAAAGGUAGUGGCGGACCCUCCCGGAGCCUCCUUUGCGUAGUAACUAACGUCUCGCACUGGGAUCCGGAGGGACUCUUGCCGUAAAACCCCCCAAUUUUUUACAGGUUGACCUCGGAUCAGGUAGGAAUACCCGCUGAACUUAAGCAUAUCAAUAAGCGGAGGAA